CUGCUAUUGGGAUUCGACUAAGCCAUGCGAGUUGUGAGGGUUCGGCCCUCGGCAGACGGCUCAGUAACACGUAGAUAAUUUGCCCUUAGGUGGAGGAUACCCUCGGGAAACUGAGAAUAAUACUCCAUAGAUCUAGACUGCUGGAAUGCUUUUAGAUUGAAAGAUUUAUCGCCUAAGGAUAAGUCUGCGGACUAUCAGGUUGUAGUUAGGGUAAAUACCUGACUAGCCGACGACGGAUACGGGUAGUGAGAGCUUUAGCCCGGAGAUGAUAUCUGAGACACGAUAUCAGGCCCUACGGGGCGCAGCAGGCGCGAAAACUUCGCACUGUGCGAAAGCACGACGAGGGAAUCCCAAGUGCUGGCUCGUAAGAGUCAGCUGUUUUUCUGUCUAAAAAACAGGGAGAGUAAGAGCUGGGUAAGACGGGUGCCAGCCGCCGCGGUAAUACCUGCAGCUCAAGUGGUGACCGCUAUUAUUGGGCCUAAAACGUCCGUAGCCGGUUUC
RNAcentral lists this ribosomal RNA (501 nucleotides) under uncultured archaeon. Its description in RNAcentral is "bacterial SSU rRNA". It matches the Rfam family "Archaeal small subunit ribosomal RNA", at positions 27 to 532 of the family's 1478-position model. The record is from RNAcentral.